CAAUAGCGUAUAUUAACGUUGUUGCAGUUAAAAAGCUCGUGGUUGGAUUUCUGGAGGGAGCGUCGGCCCGUAUUUACGAGUGCGUGACGUCUCUGUCCAUCCUUGCGGGAAGGCACGGCAUUGAUUUGUUGUGUCGGAUCGCAUCAUUUACUGUGAAAAAAUUAGAGUGUUCAAAGCAGGCUUUCGCUUGAAUACAUUAGCAUGGAAUAAUAAGAUAGGACUUUGGUGCUAUUUUGUUGGUUGAGCCUAAAGUAAUGAUUAAUAGGGAUAGUUGGGGGCACCUGUAUUGCGUUGUCAGAGGUGAAAUUCUUGGAUUUACGCAAGACAAACAGCUGCGAAAGCGUCUGCCAAGGAUGUUUUCAUUAA
Molecule: ribosomal RNA, 366 nt
Filed under: uncultured eukaryote
Lineage: Eukaryota
Description: partial 18S ribosomal RNA
Rfam family: Eukaryotic small subunit ribosomal RNA
Source: RNAcentral